UAGGGAAUCUUCCGCAAUGGGCGAAAGCCUGACGGAGCAACGCCGCGUGAGUGAUGAAGGUCUUCGGAUCGUAAAACUCUGUUAUUAGGGAAGAACAAAUGUGUAAGUAACUAUGCACGUCUUGACGGUACCUAAUCAGAACGCCACGGCUAACUACGUGCCAGCAGCCGCGGUAAUACGUAGGUGGCAAGCGUUAUCCGGAAUUAUUGGGCGUAAAGCGCGCGUAGGCGGUUUUUUAAGUCUGAUGUGAAAGCCCACGGCUCAACCGUGGAGGGUCAUUGGAAACUGGAAAACUUGAGUGCAGAAGAGGAAAGUGGAAUUCCAUGUGUAGCGGUGAAAUGCGCAGAGAUAUGGAGGAACACCAGUGGCGAAGGCGACUUUCUGGUCUGUAACUGACGCUGAUGUGCGAAAGUGUGGGGAUCAAACAGG
RNAcentral lists this ribosomal RNA (429 nucleotides) under Actinomycetes bacterium. Its description in RNAcentral is "Actinobacteria bacterium partial 16S ribosomal RNA". It matches the Rfam family "Bacterial small subunit ribosomal RNA", at positions 355 to 776 of the family's 1533-position model. Lineage: Bacteria; Bacillati; Actinomycetota; Actinomycetes. The record is from RNAcentral.